GACGAACGCUGGCGGCGUGCUUAACACAUGCAAGUCGAACGAGUGGCGAACGUGUGAGUAACACGUGGGUGACCUGCCCUGCACUUCGGGAUAAGCCUGGGAAACUGUGUCUAAUACCGGAUAGUGGGGGAUGGGCCCGCGGCCUAUCAGCUUGGUGGGGGGGUAAUGGCUACAAAGGCGAUACGGGUAGCCGGCCUGAGAGGGUGGACGGCCACAUGUGGACUGAGACGAGGCCCAGACGCCUACGGGAGGCAGCAGUGGGGAAUAUUGCACAAUGGGCGGAAGCCUGAUGCAGCGACGCCGCGUGGGGGAUGACGGCCUUCGGGUUGUAAAGCACUUUAAGUUGUGAGGCGUUACCAACAGAAUAAGCACCGGCUAACUUCGUGCCAGCAGCCGCGGUAAUAC
This 405-nucleotide ribosomal RNA is filed under the name uncultured bacterium. RNAcentral describes it as "partial 16S ribosomal RNA". It matches the Rfam family "Bacterial small subunit ribosomal RNA", at positions 28 to 526 of the family's 1533-position model. The record is from RNAcentral.